UACGUAGGCAGCAAGCGUUGUUCGGAUUCACUGGGCGUAAAGGGUGCGUAGGUGGUGGGGUAAGUCGGAUGUGAAAUCUCCGAGCUCAACUCGGAAAUUGCAUUGGAAACUACCCUGCUUGAGGGUCGGAGGGGGGACUGGAAUUCUCGGUGUAGCAGUGAAAUGCGUAGAUAUCGAGAGGAACACCAGUGGCGAAGGCGAGUCCCUGGACGACUCCUGACACUGAGGCACGAAAGCUAGGGGAGCAAACAGG
Molecule: ribosomal RNA, 253 nt
Filed under: uncultured bacterium
Lineage: Bacteria
Description: partial 16S ribosomal RNA
Rfam family: Bacterial small subunit ribosomal RNA
Source: RNAcentral